Molecule: ribosomal RNA, 500 nt
Filed under: uncultured bacterium
Lineage: Bacteria
Description: bacterial SSU rRNA
Rfam family: Bacterial small subunit ribosomal RNA
Source: RNAcentral
GCAAGUCAACGGAGCGCCCCACUGACUCUGGAUGAAGUUGAANAGCUUGCUCGGAAAUGGAUGAAGGAUGAUGUGGAUUCUGCGCUCAGUGGCGAACGGGUGAGUGACACGUGGGUAAUCUGCCUGUAAGUUGGGGAUAACAGUUAGAAAUGACUGCUAAUACCGAAUGUGCUAGAAAUAGUAAAGGCGCUUCAAAGCGUCGCUUAUAGAUGAGCCUGCGGUGUAUUAGCUAGUUGGUGGGGUAAUGGCCUACCAAGGCAACGAUGCAUAGCCGGACUGAGAGGUUGAACGGCCACACUGGGACUGAGACACGGCCCAGACUCCUACGGGAGACAGCAGUUAGGAAUAUUCGGCAAUGGGGGAAACCCUGACCGAGCAAUGCCGCGUGUGGGAUGACGGUCCUUUGGAUUGUAAACCCCUUUUAUUAGGAAAGAACUGUAAGUAUAGGAAAUGAUACUUACUUGACGGUACCUUUUGAAUAAGCCCCGGCUAACUACGUG